This 357-nucleotide long non-coding RNA is filed under the name Nicotiana benthamiana. RNAcentral's name for it is "long non-coding RNA (NBEN_LNC025701)". The record is from RNAcentral. Lineage: Eukaryota; Viridiplantae; Streptophyta; Magnoliopsida; Solanales; Solanaceae.
CUUUACCUCUUCGACCUGCACUAAUGUCAUUCAAGAUUUCCCUAGCAUCCCGAACCUUAUCAGUAGCUGCUUUUUCAUUACAAACUUCUGUAAUCCAACGACACGAUUUUUUGUCAUGUCCUUGAUGAUAACAGUAUGUGCAAUAUUUUGGAAGAUUAUCAAAAACUAGUUGCUGGUCAUAUUCAGUCAAUUUUCCAGUUUUUGUAUCAACUACCUUUAUCUUGACUUUCUUUGGGUGUUUGUCUAGCAAAUUAAUCAAGACUUUAACACGUGCUGUACUAGGUCGCGUGCGUUCUUUAGUCGCUUUAUCUACUGCAAUAGGUUUCCCAACAACAGAUGCAAUAGACAUUAGUGAUU